Molecule: long non-coding RNA, 491 nt
Filed under: Elaeis guineensis (African oil palm)
Lineage: Eukaryota; Viridiplantae; Streptophyta; Magnoliopsida; Arecales; Arecaceae
Description: long non-coding RNA (EGUI_LNC054960)
Source: RNAcentral
AGGAAGAGUCCUUCUGUGUGAAGGCUCUCUUGCACCAUAAUUCCACAUGGUGAAUUUAUUCACCACAUGAGAAAAUGGAGUGCCAAAGGAUGGUGCCCCUUGAUCCCAUGACACGUCCCUUGGUCCCUUAUUUAAAGGGGAUGUCGCACAUCGCUUUGCUGUUAUGUUUUUAGGUUGAAACUAGAGAUAAGGGGUGUGAGAGUCAUAAAAAAAUUUUGGAAAAAAUUUGAGAAAAAAGCGAAAAAAAAUUGAGUGGCAAAAGUUACAAGAAGGGUGGUGAGAUUUUUAGCAAGUGUUGCUAGUGUACCCUAAGAUUUGAUUUUUUCAUGUGUUGGAGCCAAAAAUCAAAUCCUAAGUUGUAAGACAUCUGAAGAGUGUUUUCUUGGUAUCAUUCUGGUGGCAAGAUCGGAAGCAACUGGACUUUAAUGCAAUCAUUUUUAGAGUUCGAAGCCGGCAGUAUUCUUGAGAAGAAAAGGUUGUGGCAGUGCACC